Molecule: ribosomal RNA, 733 nt
Filed under: uncultured Methanolinea sp.
Lineage: Archaea; Methanobacteriati; Methanobacteriota; Methanomicrobia; Methanomicrobiales; Methanoregulaceae
Description: bacterial SSU rRNA
Rfam family: Archaeal small subunit ribosomal RNA
Source: RNAcentral
GCACUGCUCAGUACACGUGGAUAACCUACCCUCAGGAGGUGGAUACCCCGGGAAACUGGGGAUAAUACCCCAUAGAUCAGGGACGCUGGAAUGCCCCCUGAUUCAAAGGUCCGCCGCCUGAGGAUGGGUCUGCGGCCAAUUAGGUUGUUGUUGGGGUAACGGCCCAACAAGCCAUUGAUCGGUACGGGUUGUGAGAGCAAGAGCCCGGAGAUGGAUUCUGAGACACGAAUCCAGGCCCUACGGGGCGCAGCAGGCGCGAAAACUUUACAAUGCGAGAAAUCGUGAUAAGGGAACCCCGAGUGCCCGUAAAUUCGGGCUGUCCGCCAGUGUAAAUAACUGGUGAAGAAAGGGCCGGGCAAGACCGGUGCCAGCCGCCGCGGUAAUACCGGCGGCUCGAGUGGUGGCCACUAUUACUGGGCUUAAAGCGUCCGUAGCUGGAUUGUUAAGUCUCUUGGGAAAUCCACCGGCUCAACCGAUGGGCGUUCAGGAGAAACUGGCAAUCUAGGGACCGGGAGAGGUGAGAGGUACUCCAGGGGUAGGAGUGAAAUCCUGUAAUCCUUGGGGGACCACCUGUGGCGAAGGCGUCUCACUAGAACGGCUCCGACAGUGAGGGACGAAAGCUGGGGGAGCAAACCGGAUUAGAUACCCGGGUAGUCCCAGCUGUAAACGAUGCGCGUUAGGUGUAUCGGUGAACACGAGUCAUCGAGGUGCCGAAGGGAAACCGUGAAACGUG